Molecule: ribosomal RNA, 497 nt
Filed under: uncultured bacterium
Lineage: Bacteria
Description: partial 16S ribosomal RNA
Rfam family: Bacterial small subunit ribosomal RNA
Source: RNAcentral
GAUGAACGCUGGCGGCGUGCCUAAUACAUGCAAGUCGAGCGAACAGAUGGGGAGCUUGCUCCUCUGACGUUAGCGGCGGACGGGUGAGUAACACGUGGAUAACCUACCUAUAAGACUGGGAUAACUUCGGGAAAUCGGAGCUAAUACCGGAUAAUAUAUUGAACCGCAUGGUUCAAUAGUGAAAGACGGUUUUGCUGUCACUUAUAGAUGGAUCCGCGCCGCAUUAGCUAGUUGGUAAGGUAACGGCUUACCAAGGCAACGAUGCGUAGCCGACCUGAGAGGGUGAUCGGCCACACUGGAACUGAGACACGGUCCAGACUCCUACGGGAGGCAGCAGUAGGGAAUCUUCCGCAAUGGGCGAAAGCCUGACGGAGCAACGCCGCGUGAGUGAUGAAGGUCUUCGGAUCGUAAAACUCUGUUAUUAGGGAAGAACAAAUGUGUAAGUAACUAUGCACGUCUUGACGGUACCUAAUCAGAAAGCCACGGCUAACUACGUG